GACAGUAAAUCUGAAUUCUGCCCAGAAACAUAUUCGCGCCACAGUCGACAAUGGAAGGAAAAAAGUUGCCAGUCUACGAAGGGUUAACUAGGAGGGAAGACUGCUUCGUUGCUGUUAAACUCCAUGAAACUAUUUUCAUAAAGUAAGAAUGCGAGAGCAAGCCCCACUAGCGUGGAACGCUGGGAAGCGGGGCGAUCCGUGAAAACAGGUGUUGAGUUCGUUGUGGUCUGUGCUGGGCCUCCGUGUCCCUCCGUGAUUCCGGCGCUGAUUCGUCUUCAGGCCCAGAAUCUGACCGGGAGCCGCAGCCAGGAGGCGCACGCCGAGGAUGAGCCGGCGUACCGCCGGGGAAACUGCCGCCGGGCUGCCGGUGUCCUGGUACCGCCGCCUGGAGGACGUCCCCACAGGAUUCAGCAUCUUUGUCGCUCACGAGUUCUUUGACGUUUUGCCGGUCCAAAAAUGUCAGGU
Molecule: long non-coding RNA, 465 nt
Organism: Etheostoma spectabile (orangethroat darter)
Lineage: Eukaryota; Metazoa; Chordata; Actinopteri; Perciformes; Percidae
Exons: 4
Source: RefSeq, a predicted model, not a curated record